UACGUAGGGUGCGGGCGUUAAUCGGAAUUACUGGGCGUAAAGCGUGCGCAGGCGGUUUUGUAAGCCAGAUGUGAAAGCCCCGGGCUCAACCUGGGAAUGGCAUUUGGGACUGCAAGGCUUGAGUGCGGCAGAGGAGACUGGAAUUCCUGGUGUAGCAGUGAAAUGCGUAGAUAUCAGGAGGAAUACCGAUGGCGAAGGCAGGUCUCUGGGCUGACACUGACGCUCAUGCACGAAAGCGUGGGGAGCAAACAGG
RNAcentral lists this ribosomal RNA (253 nucleotides) under uncultured bacterium. RNAcentral describes it as "partial 16S ribosomal RNA". It matches the Rfam family "Bacterial small subunit ribosomal RNA", at positions 524 to 776 of the family's 1533-position model. The record is from RNAcentral.